UGACGUGUGGCUGUCGUAAAAAACCCUAUUUGUAAACAACCAGCCCUUUAACUCGGGGCUGCGUCAUAAACACGGCGCGCUUGGAAGACCACGAUGUCAUCUUCCUUCUGUCAGGAGGAUCCAAGUGAAGCUACAGGAGUUUCAUUAACGUCAACAACUUGGACCAAACAGUUUGUUUUGCUUGAUGAAGAGCAGGAAGGGCAGCCUGGAGAGAAAGAGAAGCCGGGUUGAGCCCACUACCAUCAUCCAUGUACCACGAGGAAGAUGAGGGAGAGAAAUGAUCCUACCAUUAAAGAGACUGUGAAAAGAACGUUGAGAACAUCACCACUCUACAGGAAGACACAGUCCAGUAAUGGGUGUCAGAAGUUCAGUAGUGAACGACAGAAACAAACAAUCCAAAUUACCUGCAGAAAGCCCUUGAUGGACGCUUCAGCUGCAUCGUCAGACUGGCAGUACUGAUGCAUUUACUGAGAGGGGACGUGAGGGCCUACUCUGCGUGCUCAGAGUUCAAGCCCAGCAGGCUGCAGCGGGCCUGACAUAUUCUGGAACAGCAGCACAGUCUUUGGAUGACUCCUCUGAAGAUGAAAACAUGGCGAGUUCUUCUCAAGAGAAGCAGUACAGGUGUGCCUCAGCUCCACGGUCCCUCCUGCAGCCUCCGCUCCUGAUGCUAACCUCAUGUCUCCAUCACACCAAGCAGCAGACCUGGAUUGACAGACCUUUCUCCAGAGCUGCCCCCUCCCUCUGAAACCCCCCUCUCCAAAACACUAUUUGUGUAGUUUUUAAAGUAUUUUUUGCAUGAGAAUUGUUGAUCAUAACAUUUCCAGCAGAUGCCUUAAUAUAAUGUUUGUGCACAAUAAAUGACAUUGAUCAUAACAUAA
Long non-coding RNA from Pleuronectes platessa (European plaice), 878 nucleotides. RefSeq lists it as uncharacterized. The record is from RefSeq and is a predicted model, not a curated record. The transcript has 6 exons. NCBI's taxonomy places the organism in Eukaryota, Metazoa, Chordata, Actinopteri, Pleuronectiformes, Pleuronectidae.